GGCGGCCUAAUACAUGCAAGUCGAGCGGACAGAAGGGAGCUUGCUCCCGGAUGUUAGCGGCCCCCUUAAAGAGUAACACGUGGGUAACCUGCCUGUAACACUGGAAAUAACUCCGGGAAACCGGAGCUAAUACCGGAUAGUUCCUUGAACCGCAUGGUUCAAGGAUGAAAGACGGUUUCGGCUGUCACUUACAGAUGGACCCGCGGCGCAUUAGCUAGUUGGUGAGGUAACGGCUCACCAAGGCGACGAUGCGUAGCCGACCUGAGAGGGUGAUCGGCCACACUGGGACUGAGACACGGCCCAGACUCCUACGGGAGGCAGCAGUAGGGAAUCUUCCGCAAUGGACGAAAGUCUGACGGAGCAACGCCGCGUGAGUGAUGAAGGUUUUCGGAUCGUAAAGCUCUGUUGUUAGGGAAGAACAAGUGCAAGAGUAACUGCUUGCACCUUGACGGUACCUAACCAGAAAGCCACGGCUAACUACGUGCCAGCAGCCGCGGUAAUACGUAGGUGGCAAGCGUUGUCCGGAAUUAUUGGGCGUAAAGGGCUCGCAGGCGGUUUCUUAAGUCUGAUGUGAAAGCCCCCGGCUCAACCGGGGAGGGUCAUUGGAAACUGGGAAACUUGAGUGCAGAAGAGGAGAGUGGAAUUCCACGUGUAGCGGUGAAAUGCGUAGAGAUGUGGAGGAACACCAGUGGCGAAGGCGACUCUCUGGUCUGUAACUGACGCUGAGGAGUAAAAG
Molecule: ribosomal RNA, 736 nt
Filed under: Bacillus pumilus
Lineage: Bacteria; Bacillati; Bacillota; Bacilli; Caryophanales; Bacillaceae
Description: bacterial SSU rRNA
Rfam family: Bacterial small subunit ribosomal RNA
Source: RNAcentral